Molecule: long non-coding RNA, 1910 nt
Organism: Rhincodon typus (whale shark)
Lineage: Eukaryota; Metazoa; Chordata; Chondrichthyes; Orectolobiformes; Rhincodontidae
Exons: 6
Source: RefSeq, a predicted model, not a curated record
CAAGAUCACUGUUAGUACUGUCAAAGGAGCUCUGGGUUACUGCAGUACAUUUUGUGUAUUGAAGACACUGCUGUGACCCAGGCGGAAGUAAAUGUAAAAUGGAUAACCAGUCUUGCAAGCUUCUUUAAUUUGAAUGGUGUCACGCUUCUUGAGCACUGUUGGAGCUGCAUCCCUUCAAACAAGUGAAAGAAUUUUUGCACCAUAUGUAGUCAUAAGAGAAGACCUGUUGGGCUGUAGACGCCCGUGAAAACUGUCACAGUGUUUGUACAAAAGUGUUUGCGGAUAUUUGCACAGAAACCCUUCUCAUGCAGGUUAAUGACGGGUCAAGGCGCCAGCAAGCGUGUCUCAAGACCUUCAUGGAGAUGGAGAAGAUGGCAGAGGAGCUGCACAUAUUGACCAAGGAACAGAAUGUCAAGGCGGAGAUUCGGGCGGAAUGUGAGGAUUUUACCCGAGAUGAGCACGACGACACAUCUGAAUCUCCCAUCGAGGAGAGCAAGCAGUGAUUUUCUGUGAAUUUCUACUGAGGGAUUUGUUUGAUUUCUGCUCUUCCUGCCACCUUAUUACUGCAAAUGAUGUCAGGACUGAUUGGGAUUGGACCAGCUAGAGCAAUGCUUCCCAUACCUUUUCUGACUGUGACACUAUUUCGAGGCUUGAAAGCUGUCAUGAAUCCUCGAUGAGUGAUGGAGGCAGAGGAGCAGACCUGCUAGAGCAGGGCGGGGAACGAGAUUCACCAUUUGCUGCCUUGGAGCUUGUAAUCCCAUUUAAAUGCCAGGACAUUGUGAACUAGAGUUUUAGAUGCAUUGUAGGUUGUUGCACCUGAUUAGUUCAGUGUUGAUUUUGAAUAUGGAAGCUAUAAUUGUCAUUUGUAUGAUGGAAGUUUGUGUAGUAAUUUGCUUAUUCAUGCUGUCUUUGCACAUUGGGACUGCAUAAAUGGCCAGCUGUGUUCAAAUAUAGUAGUUGGAACCCAUCUCUGCCCCCAAGAGUGCCAAGGAUUUGGACAGGGUUUGACUUGUCUACUUCUCUCAUACCUUUAAUGAUGGUGUCAUUUAUGCACAUAUUCUGUCUAGAAAUGAGUGGGUUUGUAUUGCAUUACUCAAAGUGGGUGACCAUAGUUAGACUGGGAGGGCUGGUUUGCUCAGCACUUGUCUAGAUGGAUAGCCUGUUGAUCAGCUUCAUCCCAAAAGCAUCAGCUUCACUCCUCCCUGUUUGACUGUGGUAGAUUUUAGUUCUGUUUGCCUUGCUAUACUUGUAAAAACAAUCUCAACACUUUGGUGAUUGUUUGCUAAAUCACAGCAAAAACCUAGCUUUGGACAAACAACUUGAGAAGAAGCUAGAGUGAGUGCUGUGCUAUGUCAAGAACUUAUGGCAGCUGAUGGAUGUCAUAAGUCUCAGGUGUAGUUAUAAACAAGAAGCAGGAGCAGGCCAUUCAGCCUAUUUGGCUUUCUCUACCAUUCAAUAAGAUCAUGACUGAUCUGAUGGCAAGCUUAUCUGCAUUUACCCAAUCACUUUUUAAGGAAGAAAGUUUCAAAAACACUUGACCCUCAGAGAUUAAACAUUGACCCCUAAUUCUACAUUCUUGGAUAAGAGGAAGCAUCUUCUCCACAUCUACCCUGUCAAAAUCCAUCUGUGUAUAAAUCUUAUGUUUUUCCAUCAAGUCACCUGUUGCUCUUCUGAACUCCAGUGGAUACAAGCCUAACCUGACCAAUAUUUAAUCCCAAGAAAAUCUGCCUAUUCUGGGUAUUAGUCUAGUAAACAUUGUCUGAACUUUUUCCAAUACACUUGCUUCCUUCCUUAAAUAUGGGGACCGGUACUGUACAUAGUACUCCAGAUGUGAAUCUCGUGCCCUGUGUAACUGAAGUGUAAACUUUGUACUUUAGUAUUCUGUUCCCGUCAUGAUAAAUGACAUUCUG